UGGGGAAUUUUGGACAAUGGGCGCAAGCCUGAUCCAGCCAUUCCGCGUGCAGGAUGAAGGCCCUCGGGUUGUAAACUGCUUUUGUACGGAACGAAAAGGCUCUGGUUAAUACCUGGGGCUUCAUGACGGUACCGUAAGAAUAAGCACCGGCUAACUACGUG
RNAcentral lists this ribosomal RNA (161 nucleotides) under uncultured Comamonas sp. RNAcentral's name for it is "partial 16S ribosomal RNA". It matches the Rfam family "Bacterial small subunit ribosomal RNA", at positions 355 to 507 of the family's 1533-position model. Lineage: Bacteria; Pseudomonadati; Pseudomonadota; Betaproteobacteria; Burkholderiales; Comamonadaceae. The record is from RNAcentral.